Non-coding RNA from Delphinapterus leucas (beluga whale), 498 nucleotides. The record is from RefSeq and is a predicted model, not a curated record. NCBI's taxonomy places the organism in Eukaryota, Metazoa, Chordata, Mammalia, Artiodactyla, Monodontidae.
CUGCCAAGUAAAUAGAGAGCCCUAGAAGAAGGACAACAAUGAUGAAACAGUUGAAUGUUACAGAUGGUGAAAAGUGGUGCCUUCUCUCUGAAACAAAGAACCAUUGAAGAAUUGUUGAAGCAACGGAUGGAGAGUCGCCCAGCAACCUGAUUCCCCAGGAAUGACAAGUAACAUUCCUUGAUUCAGAGCGCUAUUGAAGAUACUAAGGGAGAAGUGUGUUGCCAGAUGACCUUCUGAGGCCCCCAGAAGGAGGAUGCAGAGAGGGAAUCCACGUCAACAAGGCUGGUCUCCAUGAACAGGAGCAGGAAAUAACAUUUUCUGUGACCUACUAUGGACCAGGGGAUCUACAGACAUUUUAUUUAGCCUUGCCUCACAGCCUUGAGAGGUGGGUAUUAUCAUCCCAAUUUUGCAGGUGGGAAAACCAAGUCUGGGAUUAAGUAACUUGAUCAAGGUGGGAUUUGAGCCCAGGUAUGCUGCCUCUAAAAUCUGUGGUUUGGG